Molecule: non-coding RNA, 138 nt
Organism: Gossypium arboreum
Lineage: Eukaryota; Viridiplantae; Streptophyta; Magnoliopsida; Malvales; Malvaceae
Source: Rfam
UGUUAAAAAAAUUCAUCCAUUUGCACAGUUAAAAAUUAGCGUGGUUAAUAGAAUAACAAGAUAAUGGCUGCCAUGUGUACCUCAUGUUGGCAUACGGAGACCAAUAUUUAAUAGCAGAAAUAGAUAAAAUUUUUAAUA